UGAUAAUGACAGUACCUGGUAAAGAAACCCCGGCUAACUCCGUGCCAGCAGCCGCGGUAAUACGGAGGGGGUUAGCGUUGUUCGGAAUUACUGGGCGUAAAGCGCACGUAGGCGGAUUAGUCAGUCAGAGGUGAAAUCCCAGGGCUCAACCCUGGAACUGCCUUUGAUACUGCUAGUCUUGAGUUCGAGAGAGGUGAGUGGAAUUCCGAGUGUAGAGGUGAAAUUCGUAGAUAUUCGGAGGAACACCAGUGGCGAAGGCGGCUCACUGGCUCGAUACUGACGCUGAGGUGCGAAAGUGUGGGGAGCAAACAGGAUUAGAUACCCUGGUAGUCCACACCGUAAACGAUGAAUGCCAGUCGUCGGGCAGUAUACUGUUCGGUGACACACCUAACGGAUUAAGCAUUCCGCCUGGGGAGUACGGUCGCAAGAUUAAA
RNAcentral lists this ribosomal RNA (434 nucleotides) under alpha proteobacterium enrichment culture DGGE gel band PCA13. RNAcentral describes it as "bacterial SSU rRNA". It matches the Rfam family "Bacterial small subunit ribosomal RNA", at positions 464 to 898 of the family's 1533-position model. The record is from RNAcentral. Lineage: Bacteria; Pseudomonadati; Pseudomonadota; Alphaproteobacteria.